Molecule: signal recognition particle RNA, 98 nt
Filed under: Anaerolineae bacterium
Lineage: Bacteria; Bacillati; Chloroflexota; Anaerolineae
Description: signal recognition particle sRNA small type
Rfam family: Bacterial small signal recognition particle RNA
About the family: The signal recognition particle (SRP) is a universally conserved ribonucleoprotein involved in the co-translational targeting of proteins to membranes. Archaeal SRP consists of a 7S RNA and homologues of the eukaryotic SRP19 and SRP54 proteins.
Source: RNAcentral
GACUGGGUCCUGCACGGCAGAACCUUCGAACCGUGUCAGGAUCGGAAGAUAGCAGCACUAAGAGGUCUCUUCUGGGUGUUGCAGGUAAUCCGGCCUGA